RNAcentral lists this long non-coding RNA (6330 nucleotides) under Solanum tuberosum (potato). RNAcentral describes it as "long non-coding RNA (STUB_LNC007950)". The record is from RNAcentral. Lineage: Eukaryota; Viridiplantae; Streptophyta; Magnoliopsida; Solanales; Solanaceae.
CUCAAGCUCUCUCUGUCAAACAACAAUAGGGAAUAAAAGCAACGGAUUUGUGUUAAGCUCCGGGUCUCUACCAUUGUUGUCGAUAGAUUGACGUUGGGCAUCCAUCUCUGAGCUUUCUAUUAUUAUUUUUAUCUCUAAUGUAACUGUUCUCUCUUCUCAACCAAUUUGAUACCAAAAAUCAAAUUCUUCUUUUUCCUCCUCAAGGUUCCAGUCUCAGGAGCUUAUCAACAAAAAAAAAUAAAAAUCUUGCACCCGCCACUUUCAUAAACCCUGAAGGUACAUUGGUUGAAGCUUUUUUAUUAUAAGCUUCCCUGUACAAGUAAAUUUGCUAUUUUUGACAUUAUGUACGCACGGCUGAAUGCUGAUGAAUCAAAUGGUGGUGACUCGUGAGUGAUCCUGACAUUUUUUGGCUCAUCUUCAUGAGGUUCGUUUUAUACAAUUUUAGCCCUUCAGUUUCAAGUGACAAAGAUGUAGGAUUAAAUGUACUUAAGAUUGUUGUAAUUGAAGCUCUCAAGCAUUAGUUUAGUUUUGAGUUAUUUCUGAAUAUAUUUUCUAGAGAGUUGUUUUAUCUGUUGAUUCAAUUCUGAUGAGGAUAUCUUUUAUUGUAUAGUCACAGGCUGCUGUUGUGUGUGUUGCUUAUCUUCUAUGAUCGAAUUUGAUUGUCAAUUAAUUUUCUAUACAAUUAAUAGAUAAAAUUGGUGUUUAUAUCUCUUUAAAGAUUUCUUUCUUCCCUAAAUAUUUCUUGUGGAAUAUCAGUAAUAGUGCUUUGUGGAAUUUGCAAGAAACUAAUGAAGCACCUCAAAUGAUGCUAAAUUAUAUAUAUAUGACACUGAUAUUCUGCUUCCAAUUAUCUAUAUCCAAGUUCCAUUUGUUCCCUUUGAUUUUCCUUUCAGUAUCUCCACCAUUUGCUCUUUGUUUGUUAUAAGGUUCUUCUGUGUUAUUUUUGGUUUUCUUCUAUUUACGUUUUACAUAAUGUGAGUUUUGAGCAAAAAGCUAUAUCAUAAUGACUUGUGUUUAUUUAAUUAUUUGUUGUGGUCAUACUGAAAGUCAAUCACUUCAUCUGUCUCUUUUUGUGAUCUGAAGGCCUGAAAAUCACACUAAAGACCGAUGACAUUAAAAGAGAAUUCAUGAAAUUAAAAAUUUAACAUUAAAGGAUAAAAAUUUAGAUGUGCUGUCAUUUAAUUUUGUUUUUAGAAUCUGUUGUAUAAUUCCCUUUCUUAAAUUACCUGAAUUGUUCUGCAAGUGAAGAUUAUUUUUUUUGGUAACAACUGUAAAAUAUUACCAUAACCACCCAAGAACGGAUACAAAUAAAGAGCACCUAAUUCUGAUAAUAGAGAACAGGCCUCCUACCAAACAUAAAACCAAUUACAUAACAAAUGUUGAAUAAAGUGUCUACAAUUUUUUUGCUUUCUUUGAACUACUAAGUGUAAUCUUUCAAUAAUUUCCUUAUUUAUCUGUGUUACUGCCUCCUUCGUAUGUACACGUUUGUCUGUAAACCUCCUCCAAUUCCUGGCACGCCAAGUGUGGUAUAUGAUAUCUCCACAGAUAGCUGCCAUGAUCUCCUUUUUAAUUGCUUCCGGUGAUUACCUUUUAUGUUUUCCAGGACCUUCAUGAUACUAAUAAUCUGCACUGGUAUUUCAGUCCAAUGGUGCAUAACUUGCCACACAGCUAAUGUCCAUUUGCAUUUCUCGAAUAGGUGAACAUUAGUCUCCAUUACUUUCUCAUCACAUAAACAACAUUCAGUGUCAUCAACCUGAAUAUUCAAUCUCAGCUUUCUCUCCUGUGUAAGAUUUCUAUUUCACUAGAGUAUUAUAUUAUUAAAAGAAUUAAUUAUUGAACAUAAAUUUGCUUCAUAGUCAAAGCACACCAGUAAAAAAGAGUUGGUAUCAAUGAAAACAAAAUUAUGACAUGAGAGAUUAGUACACUUGACUUGAACACAAGUUUCAAAAUAAACCAUGAAGAGAAAACAAAUAAAUAAUUAGCCAUCUUUAUAAUUCUAUACACAAAAUGGAGAUGAAAGUGUAGGUCAGAAAGACCACAGAUUACAGAACUAUGAUCACCAGUCAUCUUUCCUUCUCCGUUGGAUGGCAUUUUAGUUCACUUUUCUCCAUUCUUUUUACACACCUUAUCUCAGAAUCUCCCAUCAAAUUUAACUCUGUGUGUGUGGCGUACCUAGAAUCUAACAACAUCUUUUGACUAAAUACCAUCCUAAAUUACCCCUACAUUUAUACAGUGUGCUAUUGGAAGUUACUCACUUUAGGAAACAUGAAGUUCUUAUCUUUAAUCUAUCACUUACUUGGUUGUUUAAGUUAUUUUUAUUUUAUUGCACGGAGAGUUACUUACAUUUUGAAAAAUGUUGUUCUAAGCUUUUAACAAUUAUUUAUUUGGCGUUCACACUUUGUGAGUGCUCUCUUCAAAACGUGGAAAAAAUAUAUCCUAAAUAGCUUCUACGACAAUCGCAGUAAUGCAUCAAACAAUGACACUGUAGUUUAUCUGAAUUACUCACCUAAUCAAUUAAGAUCUUGACACACUUUCUACAGAUCUUUUAAGAUCCUAGAUGAAACAUAAGUAUCUUUAAAGUUAUAGCUCGCUAAUUACUAUUUUUUGCACUCAGUUUUAGAAUUCUUUAGUUGACGAUUGGUGUUUACUUGAUUUUUGAAGGUAUUUCAAAACAUCUCCCUGUUAUGUGUUUCCGGGAUAGCAAAGGUUGGCUACUAAGCUAGGUAUUGUAUCUCCAACACAAUUGAAAUGAUAGAUCAAGUUAGCUCUGCAAUAUUUACUAAAACUGUAAGUUCUUGAAAUCUUUUGGAUAUCUUUCAUCUUAAAUAUCAGUAGAUUUUCUUAAAUAUUUGUUCAAGGUUCUUCAUUCCUCCAACUGGCCGUGGUUUAGUGUUUAUGUGAUUAUACUUGUUGUCAUUGUUACAGUUCCUUACAUAUAUGCUCCGCAUUAUUUUGUUAAAAGUGUAGAUAGGUAAUAUAAUUAUUCUACAUCACUAUAGUGUAAGAGUAAGUAUGCUAACCAAAAGGGCACUGUGUGUAAUUGCAUCAGGGGCGUAAUAAUAAAAAUUUCUAUUAAUUCUAUUGUAUAGAAACAUGAAGAGCUAGGACGACCAAUGGCAUAACCAUAAAUAUACUCAAUAUUGAAGGGUAAUAUGGUCAUUAUACAACACUAAUUUUUUAGCAAUUAACAUGCGCCUCUUCUAUUUUCCUUCUAGAACAUUCUCUCUCUUCCUUCCAUGUUGCAAUUAAGAGAUGACUCAAGAAAAAGAAUUGGUAAAUUGAUCGGAUCUUUCCUAAACCUCCUCUCUCUAGACCUAAUAUGUGAUCUAUCUAUUUCAUAGACUUCUCUUGUGAUGCUACUAAAGCAGGAAUGGGUGGUGUAAAUGGUUUAAUUAUCGGUAUAUAUAAUCGGUUUAUACACAUAGGUAGCUUUAUGAACUUUAAAAAGGAUAUCUAGAAGGAUUGUAACAUGUCAUAUUCUACAAUUCUGAAGAGUAAGCAUGAUGAAUCUUUCUGAUUGAUAAAAAUGGCCUCGAGAGGGAUUGUAACAUGUCAUAUUUUUACAAUUGUGAAGAAUAAGCAUAUGUUGGAAUAUGAAUUUCAUAAAUUGUUGUUUCUUUCUGAUGAAUGUAGUAUAAUUGGUGCAGGUGAUUGACGGUUUAGUUCCAUUAACAGAGAUGUUCAAUUGCGUUAGUAAAACUUGAAAGGGAAUGACAAAGGAGCAUGCAUCGUACAUUAUGCAAUUAGGCAAGUUUGAUGUUGUCCCUCAACACAUUCAAAUCAGCUUGCCAAAAAGGAAGAAGCAGCAGUUGUUUAGUCAGUCAGCUUUCAAAUUUGGAUCCACGAACUUAAAAAUAGGUAUUUUUACUCAAUGAAGGGACUGCUCUUUGACAUCAUCUUGUCUUUUGGUGUUGCAAUUUCAGUUUGAUCUUUUAUCUUAAUUUUAGCCAUUAUUUUAAGAUUCUCUUUACAUUUUCCAACAUGGUUGAAGCGGUUAUAUUUUGACUAGCUUUCACUGCCAUAAAUUUCAUAGAGGCAAGUCAACAUGCCGGUUUUAUACUGAUUUGUUGUGAAUUUCAACCUCUUACUUGUUCUCCUAUGCUUGGUGGUUAAUUUCUUUAAAUUUUUUUACUCAACGGUUAGUCUCCCGUGGUUUCCACUCCAAGUCCACCAAUCCAACGUAAACUUGCCAACAUCGUAUUUCAUGAAACUUGUGUGCACUUACCAAACUACCCUGCCCCUUCGCCCUCAACCAUUAGCUCCCACGCCUAAUAACAAGGACAUCAUAGUAAAAUCACUUUGUUACCGUAAUCGAACAGACCCCAUAGAAUAUAGUUGGACUGGUUAUUUUUUUCUUUAACUUCUUUAAUAAUAAUUAAGAAUCUACGUUAACACUUGACUAAUAGUAUAUGAGUUCCCUCUGUUCUUUUUUCCAUCAUAAAGUUUAAUUUUUCUUUGUUGUUUCUAAAUUAAAACUUGUAUUCUUUUAAUUCCAAUCUUUUAACCUUUUAGGUGAACCAAGAAAAGAAAAAAUGUUGGAUGCAUAAAAGAAUAACAAGUUUUAUUCCCAAUGGUAAGAGUGACAAUUUGUUAGGGUUGGUUUUUUUUUUCCAUAAAUAUUUUUCAGAAUGUAGAAAAUUAUUUUUCUUGUUAAUUUUGCUUAUGUUGUGGGAAUUUUCUGAUAUAACAAGAGUCUACAAUCAGGCAGACGAAAACUCAAAUCGAAAUGAUCAGGAAGUAGAGAUAUGCAAUGUAGAAAUAUUUGAAGAAUGAUAUAACUGGCGUCUUAAAAUAUGGAUUGGAUGUCAACCCCUGCCACAGGGUAAUUUUCUUUUGUUGGAAUUGAUCCAUCUAUAUAUUCUGUUAUUCUAUCACUUAGUUUUAUUUUAUAUGGCCUCUUUCUUUAUACUGAUUUGUUGUGAGUUUUAGUUUUAUUUUAUAUGGCCUGUUUCUUUAUACUGAUUUGUUUGAGUUUCAACCUCUUACGUGUUCUCCUAUUCUUUGGUGGUUAAUUCCAUUAGUUUUUUUGUAUGUGCAUGUUAGUUCGUGCACAUAUCUUUUCUUCUACUUGAUUUUCCUAAAACCAAAUACACGCUAUCACUAAGAAUAAUGGUCUAUUGAGUUCUCUUCCUCUCAAUGCAACUGCAUUGCUUUGGCUAAUUUAUAUGAGCUUAAGGAAAAAGAAAAUGUAGAGUGAAUUUUUUAAAAAGAAAAUGUAGAGUGAUUUUUUUUUCUUUCUUUCUUUUCGGUGAUUACUAAGAAAGGCUAAUGAUCUAAAUUUAUGCAUUCUCUAAGUUGGUCUUUUUCAUAAGCACCAUGCCAAGUCAAAAAGGGCCACAUAAAAUAGGAUAGAUGGAGUAUAAUUUUUUUUUAAAUGUACUUCCUAUCAUAAAUAGUUAUUUUUGUAAUGAAAAAAUUAACAUAAAAUGUAUUCUUGAUAAAAAUAUUAGCCCCCCCCCCCUCCCCCUAAAAUUGAGGGCCCAAGGCAUGUGCUUACUUUUUAUAGCAUAGAGUUUACCAUGUGUUGCAAUUCUCAAGCCUUAAUUAGCUCUUGAAGAAGGUUAGCAACCACAUAUAUCUUCCUUCUCAGAAAUAUUUAUGCACAAAUAUACUUAUAUACGUGCAAGAUGUUUUAACAGUAAAUAUUGAAAUAUAGCGCAAGACUCUUCUCAUAUGAGCCAGACAUGUUUCAAUAUUCUAUGUGCUAAGAGGAUUCUUCCAUGAUUGUGAUUUUGAAUUUUGCAAUGUGAAUGACAGGAAUACUUUCUUGAAUCUAUUUCCUUAGGGCAUUGAGUGAAGGUUGUUCCUUUCAAAUUCACAUAUAACUUGGUAUAUGUUAAUUCUUUGUGGUUAUCUUCAGUAUUUUAUUUUAAAUUGACAUAUAACUUGUAAUAUGCUGGUUCUUUGUGAUUGUCUUCACUAUUUUAUUUUUACUUUUGCUUUAAGUGCUACUAUUUUUAUGAACAGUUGUUAUUUCGGAACUUUUAUUCCUUUCCUUGAGAUAUUAAAGCUGGAGUAUAUAGUUCGUGCUGAGUGAAGGAAAUUUUGCAUCUUAUCAAGACAAUUGCAAACACUCGAGGCAUCAAUGGAUUUAUGAAACGGAAUUUUAUUACUCUACAUGCAGCUCCAUUUAAGGAUACCAACUUCUAUUCUUUUGAAAAAUACAGAGAGCAUCUACUCAAAUUUACUACUAAUGAUUCAAGGCAUCACUAGAUUUUGUAAAAUGAAUUUUGUCAUAUUCUAUGAUUAGCUCUAUGUAAGUCUAUCCACUUCUAUUUUCUUAUGAUAAAUAUUGAAAAGUAUUUAGAAGAUAGUUGUCUGCAAUGUAAA